Molecule: long non-coding RNA, 174 nt
Organism: Etheostoma spectabile (orangethroat darter)
Lineage: Eukaryota; Metazoa; Chordata; Actinopteri; Perciformes; Percidae
Exons: 3
Source: RefSeq, a predicted model, not a curated record
UGAUUCAGAUUUUAGAUUAUGGGAGAUGAUCCACAAAAGCCGAGCUAUAUGGUCGGGACAACGGGAUGUCGGAGCAGAGGGUUUAGUUUUUUCAAAACAAAGGGACGUCGGACUACUGGGCUGUUGGACCAAAGGGAAUUUUUUGGGUUAUUGAGAGGAUGGGAAUAAUGGAGC